AGUGAACGCUGGCGGUAGGCCUAACACAUGCAAGUCGAACGGCAGCACAGUAAGAGCUUGCUCUUACGGGUGGCGAGUGUCGGACGGGUGAGGAAUACAUCGGAAUCUACUUUUUCGUGGGGGAUAACGUAGGGAAACUUACGCUAAUACCGCAUACGACCUACGGGUGAAAGCAGGGGAUCUUCGGACCUUGCGCGAUUGAAUGAGCCGAUGUCGGAUUAGCUAGUUGGCGGGGUAAAGGCCCACCAAGGCGACGAUCCGUAGCUGGUCUGAGAGGAUGAUCAGCCAGACUGGAACUGAGACACGGUCCAGACUCCUACGGGAGGAAGCAGUGGGGAAUAUUAGACAAUGGGCGAAAGCCUGAUCCAGCCAUACCGCGUGGGUGAAGAAGGCCUUCGGGUUGUAGAGCCCUUUUGUUGGGAAAGAAAAGCAGCAGGUUAAUACCCCGCUGUUAUGACGGUACCCAAAGAAUAAGCACCGGCUAACUUCGUG
Molecule: ribosomal RNA, 492 nt
Filed under: uncultured bacterium
Lineage: Bacteria
Description: partial 16S ribosomal RNA
Rfam family: Bacterial small subunit ribosomal RNA
Source: RNAcentral